UCCACGUGCAAAGUGCAAACAAAAAACCCGCAUGUUAAACAGCAUUUUCAAGGUCUUGGCAAAGAAUAUAUAUUUUUAUUGUUUGAACGCCAGCUUUUAUGGUUUAAAACGUUAUAGCCUCAAAUAUUAUUACUAUAGAUUUCCCACCAUGCGAAAAACGGAUAAAGGAGUGUCAUAAUGGCACAAUACCCAACUGUCUGGUUAAAAACAGGCUGGAGCAACAUUUCGUAUGUUGCGAGAGAAGCAAACUGGCCAGAAAUCACUUUUCAAAGCAAGAAAAUGAAGUUCCAAGAAACUAAGACUAGGCUGCACUCUACUUAUGCAUGUAAAGUAAUUAGCAAUGUACCCAGAAUUCAGAUGAGCACUUCGGAGCAAUGUUGCCAUUGGCAGCCCCAAAAAUCGGCGACGGAGGCAAUACAUUGACUAAGGUUGGCGCUACAGAAAGAAAAGUCUACUGGCAAGCCUGUGCUUCGUGAGCAUCCCUUCUACUAUGAGCAUAUCGGACAAGCAGGGUCACUGCAACCAUGACAACGACGCUCGUUGUGCAGGCUACGCGCAGCCUAUGAACUAUGAAUUCUAAAAAAAAGUCUCUGUCAUUCUACUCUGUGAAGGUGCAUGACCAGCGAAGCUGUGUAUGUGGGUCCCUUAUUAAUGGCUAACUGCUCAUUGUCUCGCGUCAAACGCCGUAUGCACACAAAUGGAAGGCGAGGCGUGACUACAGACGCUCAUUCACGAUGUUGAGCUUUGAAAGAUGAUGAGGCACCGGGGUGUAUACAUAGCUGUGUAUACACCGCGGCACGAAGUGUACCGCGGCCCAUGUAUAAACCGCGGCACGAUACCUUUUACUAAUGAAUCCCGGCACGUAGAACGGACACGCACCUCACUGCACUCCGGCAGCGCACUCUGUUUCACUGUAGCCAAGGCGAUCGUCCAGUGGACGACGUCCCGCAGUGCAGUAAUGGAUGUGACGUUACUCGAAAACCACAAGCGGUCACAAACAAUAAAGGCCACAAAAACAAAUGGUUCCCUACAAACUCUCCCUGCAAUCUGGCCAUUGCUCUGGCGAAACGUUCCAAGUUCGAGGGAUCGGGGCCACAUGGACGGUUGGCUUCUCUUUCCACCUCGCAGUCCUGGCGGGAAGCAUGCUUACGAGACCGCCAUCACAGGAGAGUGGAAGAGAAGCCCUUGGGACGCCGACAAAGAGCGUGGCGUGAACGUAGUUAUGACCAGCAUGUGUCAAACUGUAGUGUGUUUUAUCAGCUAUAUAUCUGAUACGGGUUGCAUUUGGACUGAAGAUAUUGUUUUUGUGGAUAGCAGUAAGGUUUUGCGCGUUUACUACAAGAGCAAGUAUGGAACAGGUGGUUAUCAAAAAAAAGGAAAAUUGUGUUUAAGACGUGGAUGCAGUAAAGAAAUAAAUAAGAACAGUAGCAUCCAGUGUAAAUGAGGAUGAACUAAGAAUGGUGAUGGAGGCUUUGGAGCAGCCACCACGCUGGGAACAAAAUUACAAGCAACAGGCCUACAUAAAAAACAAGUGGCUAAUUGUCAAGGAGAUAUGGAUAAAAAUUAAGCGCAUGCAAGACAGAUCCUACUUAUCGUUUGUGGACAAGAUAAGCGCCCACAAUUUUUUUUAAUAAAGUGAGGGCUACUCAUUUCAUGAUUAGCACACGUCAAACACUCCUUCACAUGUUCUCCGUAACGUGUACAUAGAACUCAAUACACGGGAGUUCCGCUUCCACGGAAUGCGGCCGGCGCGGCCUAGAUUUGAACCCGCGACUUCAUUUUCAGCGGUAAAGAGCCAUACUAGUUCAGCCACCUCGUCGGGUGUAAAGGCAGUCGUCUUCACGCUGUACCUAAAGCCUCGGGUGGACAACGCUGCUACAAGAGCACAACUACUUGAUGAGGCAAAACAUUUAUUCAAGCCUUCAACUUUGAGCUUCAACGCGACGUAUACCAGAACCAAUAGACCAAGGAGUCACCACGACUUCCUACAAGUCAUGUAAACUUUACGUAAUGUUCGAAGACGAAUUACAUCGCACAACUUUCAUGCCCUUAUAAGUCUAGAGAAUAAAUUUGGUGACACAAACCUACAUGAAGAUAGCUUACCAUUAAUGCGAAGUAACCUCUGCUUACUUUGGGCACUUUGAGCCUACCUGUCUAUCUAGCCUCUUACGCCCGAUCCAGUGGCUCAAGUUUUAUGAUAGCUUGGGCAACUAUGUGCUCGCUGUCGGGGUGCUGUCGUGGUCACUUCUACAACUGUAUAUAUAUGGUGAUAUGUAUGAGAGGAUAUGCAUGCUUGACAUGACGUGAAUUGCAUGGCAUAAAUGACAUGCCUGAUAUGUAUUACACGUAACAUGCAUGCAUGGCAUGAAUGACAAUUUGUGACAACAUUUGGGUUACUAAGUAUGUGCUCGUGGUCGCGUCAUGGUCUUUACUUUAUCGGUGCAUACCAACUGCCCCGUGUAAUUGUGCUAAAAUUUAAAUAUGUGCGAGUUCCACUUAGCUAGGCAGAACCAAGGUAAUGUUGUUUGUCAUCGCUUGGAGCGUCAGACUGUCUGUGUUUCGCCUCAUUACGUCAUUAGUUAUUAAUUAUUCGGCUUCUUUAGUAUUACAAUCAGAGCAAAGGUGUCAUUGAGAACGUUGUAGGCCAACCUGAAGAAUUUUUGAUCCAGCUCUGUGUUACUCAGUACCUGUUACAUGAAAUUUUUUCCAAGCCUCAAAGAGAGGCCAUGAAACACGAAAAAAUUGCCUCCCAAGCUCUCCGUACAGAUGGUUAACCAGUGAAAUUGAAACGUGUGCCCCCGGCGUUUAUCACUGGGGUAAUCCGGAUGAUAAAUAAACGACGGCUUGGUUGUCUGCCAUAUUCUCGGUGUGCAGUUGCUGCUUGCGCCCGGGCUGCAGCAUCGGCAUGGCAUAGACGAGCUCGUUCCCAGUUCUGCUCGCGGCGUUGCUGAUCGAAAGCUGCCUUCUCCUAGGGAGUACGUAGGACACGUAGCCAACCCAUUUCGGAGCCGGAGAGAAACUGGUAUAUGCGCGCUCGGCUGUGACGGAGAGCAACGACGUCACUACGGGCGCAGCAACUCCAACACCACCCAGAUAGCACAAGUCCGAUCCGUGACGUCAGUUACCUGGCCCGCCUAACAUAAAUCUAAUGUAGAUGCUCCCGAGUAAGAAACCGGGAUUUUGACGCCACCGCAUUCAUCACGCCAUCUAUGGAGAUGCCGGGCCAGGUAGCGUGACCUCAUGAAUUGGAGUAAACAGGCCUCGUGUUGUCAAGGUUGUGUUGACUAAUCGCGCACCUCCGGCGCAUGGGGCUGCGCCGGAGGAGUUUUCGGCGUACAGGUGACCGACAUAUGGACGGACGGACGAAUCGGCUAGUUAUAUACAGCUUCACUGUAAAAUCUACUUACUAGACCUUCGCAUCGACACAAACAGUGCUACUAAACCAAAAAACAAACACCUCAAGGCCUUCUUAGCCGGAAGCAGCGGUCACCGCAGCCUGUAAAGACAACAGGAAUCCUAGUGGAGAAUUUUUUCUCAGAGAAUGAGGAGCAGUUUUUCUCGUAAAAUGGGAGAUUUUCGCAAAUUUACCACCUCUAUGACAAUGUGGUGCCGGCGUACCUGCAAUGGAGGCCCCCUGUCCUAGCUAAGUAUGUGUAGGGACGAUUCACUAAAUCCUUGGAAUUUAAAUCCAAGGACAACAAACGGGGCAGUCGCAUGGGUGAACUUAUGGUGCACUUCAUGAGUGGAAGCACAGACUUUCAUGAAGUCCACUUUUGUACACCAAGCUGCACGUGCCCCUCGACUUUCAAAAGACAAAACUUCCCUGCAAACAUUUUGCAGCUGUGUUUACGUUUGUCAGUGGCUGGGAUUUCUCCCGUCUACCUGACGAAUCCAGGAAUGGGCUAUACACGAUGUUCUGUGUGGUCAGAACUGACACACUGACUUAUUUUGAAGCCACUGAGUCGCCAACUGAAAUAGCGACUCAGAAACCUGACUGAGACUUGCAGAAAGCAUCACAAUAGAAGGGCCGGCUCAUCAAGAGGUAGGUUCAGGUUCAAAGCGAACGCAUAUUGUAUUCUCUUUACUACGUACAUGACAACGCAGUACUUGAAUAUUUAUUCGGCUCAUUUACGCAAGCCAGAAUCUUUGUCGAGCAAUAUGUAGAGACAAGCAACGGAGACACAGGGAAAGGCUCGACAACAAAAGGGUGCUUUGCAGUGGAAAGGAAGGCAAGAACACCACACGAAGCUGGAAUAGAAGGGAAGGCGCUGAAGCAGGAAAAGAGACGCCAGGACAACAAACACUGGUUCUCGCGGGGAAGGAUGGGCAAGAAACCAGAAGUUAUAAGUAACUGUUACACCCCCUUAGCUUGUAAUAAAAUGGCAAGACUGGUUAGUUAAAGUUCAUGAUGUACAGAAGCUUCAAGUAUACACCAGUACAACUGUGUUUUAUUUGUAAGUUAUACACUGUCGCGUGUGGUUCCGAUGAUGCAACCUGCUUUUAUGUUGUGCUGCGCAUGCGCAAGAUCAUCGAGGUCUAUCCCUUAGGUUGUCACUGGAAGCAGUUUCCAUUGUAAUAAUUAUAUAUGUUAUUUGCCUUAAAUAUAUGAUGUCUUUUAAUAAAUAAUUUCUGCAUUCUACUAAGACUGUAUGCUUGUAGUGAGUUACGUUUUGGGCGAUAAGUAGGUCUUGCAUAAGGAUUAUUCAUGUCGCUACUCUUGAUUUUCACGUUCUUGAAGUGGCUAAACUUGCUAUUUUUCCGUUUUUUAUUCUGUACACACUAUUUUUUGUUACCAUUUGCUUUGCUUUUGAACCGUUGAUUUCUGUGUCUUGCGUACUCUUUUCCUGUGUUAUGGUGCCCAUCAGGAUCAAUUUGUUAGCUUGUGACUGGAAGCACAGUUCCCAUUGUAAUUGUAUAUGAUGUUUCCAUUGGAUAUAAGAUGUUUUUUUAAUUAUUUAUUGAUUUUUUACUGCGACUUUUUGUUAGUAACUAGUUACAUUAUCGGUGUUAAGUAAGUUUUGUAUAACAAUUGUUCAUGUCACCACUCUUUAUUUUAAUGUUCUUAAAGUGGCUAUUGUUAUUUUUGCGUUUUUCAAUAUGUAUACACUACUAUUCUUGCACUGCCAUUUGCUUUGUUUUCGUAUCGAUGGUUUCUGUAUCAUACACAUACUUUUUUGCUGUGUGUGAUGGUGCUGGUCAAGAUGUAUUAUUUGAUCUUGUGACUGGAAGCACAUUUUUCAGUGCAACUGUAUAUGUUAUUUAGUUUGAUUAUCUAGUGUAUCUAAUUAAUUACUUCUAGAAUUGGCUUUUGCUCCAGAUUCUUGCUAGUGAUUAUUUACAUGUUCGUUGUAAAAUUUUGAUCAGGAUUGUUUACCUCAUUUCUCGUGAUUUUCAAGUUCUUCAUAUGGUUAUUCUUGUUAUUCUUGCGUUUUUGAUGCUUUACACGCUGCUUUUCCUUAUUGUGACUUGCUUUGUUUUUCUACCGUUGAUUUCUGUAUCUUACGUGUAAUUUUGCUGUGAUUGCUUUGUAAUGGAUACCAUGGGUCUGGGAAGCGGUUUUUGCAGUUUCUAAGACAGAGAGAAUAGCAGCUUCGGCUUGUUGGUUUUCCAUCCUGGCGUUAACAGAGCAAUACGUAGACGGGCCACGAGACGAGAAGACGGCACCACAGCGCUUGUGGUGUCACCUUCUGGUCUCGUGUCCCAUCUACAUUUUGCGCUGUUAACACUAGGCCAGAGAGCCAGUCACAACUAUCUUGUAAAUAAAGCAAAUUGAAUGGGGAAAACACACCGUAACUAGGGUCGACUGAUUAUUAGUAUCUUUUGCAGGGUUCAUGACCACAUAGAACCAAAUCACUUGUUGAACGUUAAUGCAUGCGCACGAGCGAAAAAAUACCAAGAGCGCGGGCCAAGGUGCGCAAAAUAUCACCCCGUAUGUUUUGUAGUGUGAAGCGAAAAUUUUACUCAUUUAUUGAAUAAGCAGCUGCUUAAUUUGUCCCAGAAACGAUCUCCGAUGCCCGCGCUAUUUCUUCGCUGCGAUUCUCAAGGGGCAGGAAGCAUAUUAUGUGACUAAAUGGUUGCGGUAGACGGAAUAUUAGGGCGUCGCGGACACCGCAACUGUCAUGCUCGAGGCCAACACCUCCAAUAUUAAAAACCGAAUGCGCUUAUAGGGGGCCCCAUGCAAGAAGGGCAGGCGGCAGGAUUCAGAAAUACAAGCAGUUUACAAAGAUCCGCGCGCGUAUGAAGACUGGAGCCGCAGUCAGCGUGGUUUCCGGGAGCGUGCGAAAGCAGCGGGUGCAGCAAGAAGCGCGAAAGAAAGAAGAGGUGCGUUUCCGUUGCUAGACGCACGUCGCACGGCCGAACAUGCGCAGAGCAUACGCCAUAUGAACCUACCUGCAAGGAAAC
Dermacentor albipictus is the source of this 6402-nucleotide long non-coding RNA. RefSeq lists it as uncharacterized. The record is from RefSeq and is a predicted model, not a curated record. NCBI's taxonomy places the organism in Eukaryota, Metazoa, Arthropoda, Arachnida, Ixodida, Ixodidae.